GACGAACGCUGGCGGCGUGCUUAACACAUGCAAGUCGAACGGGGUCGUGUGCAGCACUGUGUGCUGUACGGAUAACACAGACAAAAGGAUAAGAGAUAACAGAUAGAGAGGCGGAGGGGCGCGGCAUAUUUGUUAUCUGGAAUGAAGUUAUCCGGAGCGGCAGCACGGAGUGCUGUACGCGAUCUAGUGGCGGACGGGUGAGUAACGCGUGAGCAAUCUGCCUCGAGGUGGGGGACAACGCCGGGAAACUGGCGCUAAUACCGCAUAACGUGCAGAGGGGGCAUCCCUUUUGCACCAAAGAUUUAUUGCCUUGAGAUGAGCUCGCGUCCGAUUAGGUAGUUGGUGGGGUAAAGGCCCACCAAGCCGACGAUCGGUAGCCGGACUGAGAGGUCGACCGGCCACAUUGGGACUGAGAUACGGCCCAGACUCCUACGGGAGGCAGCAGUGGGGAAUAUUGGGCAAUGGGCGAAAGCCUGACCCAGCAACGCCGCGUGAAGGAAGAAGGCUUUCGGGUUGUAAACUUCUUUUCCUUGGAAAGAUAAUGACGGUACC
RNAcentral lists this ribosomal RNA (552 nucleotides) under uncultured Eubacteriales bacterium. RNAcentral describes it as "bacterial SSU rRNA". It matches the Rfam family "Bacterial small subunit ribosomal RNA", at positions 28 to 479 of the family's 1533-position model. The record is from RNAcentral. Lineage: Bacteria; Bacillati; Bacillota; Clostridia; Eubacteriales.